This 1017-nucleotide long non-coding RNA is filed under the name Helianthus annuus (common sunflower). Lineage: Eukaryota; Viridiplantae; Streptophyta; Magnoliopsida; Asterales; Asteraceae. The record is from RNAcentral.
ACAGAAGUAAAUCAAGAUUGACGUGUUUGUGAACGAUGAAGAUUCAAGACCAAUCAUCACCGAUUCCUAAAUUUUAUGUUACUAGGAUCAAUCAUCCUGUUAUUAUUGUCAUCUAUUUAUAUGUAUACCAUACAACAUUUUGAUUGACAAACCAAGGCGGAUUUGGCGUUGCUGUCUCCGUCAUUCACAAACACGUCGAACUUGGCCUAUUUUCAUGGUUACGGCUUCAGAUUGAAGACAUAUGGUGAGCAUUGGGUUUAGGAAACCGGACCCUUAAUUUCAUCGAGUACAAGAACAACUCCCGGUAGUGACCAAUGCAACGCCGUUCUGGGACAUGGUGAAAAAGGUGAACGAGGCCAAUGGUUCAACAACAUUGAAAAAAAAAAACUAUUCUUUAUGCCUCCAUUUGGAAGAUCUGGAAGACCCGAAACGAUUGCAUUUUUAAUAGCAUCUCGUUUUCAGUUUUGAAAGCCGUAGAUGGCAUAAAGGACUCGUUUAUGUGGCCUAAACAAAGAGCGCCUUUUAGUUAUUUAGUUUGGGAGAGAUGGAGGGAUUUUAAUGUCCGGGAUAUUAUUGAGAUUGCAAAUAGAAUCAGGAUGUGAAGGAAAUAAAGAUGGUGGCUGUUGAUUUUUAAUUUGGGUAGAAUGUGGGUGUUGACUUAUCAAGCAAUAUUACAGUUGAAGAAUAUUGAGCGUUGAAGACCGAAACGUUUAAUAAUUGCUUGACUUAUCAAGAAAUUUUUCUUCAAGAGGAGCAGUUGGUUGAACGAAAUCUUGAACCAAUUAUCAAGAGAUUUGGCUCUUCGUAUAAAUCUUGAAGUUUAGUGCCAUCGCCGUUGAAUUCAAGGAAACGGUGGCUUUGAGGGUUGAAGACCGAAGCGGUGGUUAUGGUAAUUGUGUUUUGUUCGGUUACUUUUCGGUAGUGUAGUAUUUUGGUAAUUGUGGUUCAGUGUAGACGACAGUUUUGAUUUUGGUUCUUUCGGUGUAAAAGACAUUUGGCACCUCGAUUUACUCAGGU